CGCAAGGUUGAAACUCAAAGGAAUUGACGGGGACCCGCACAAGCGGUGGGUGAUGUGGUUUAAUUCGAUGCAACGCGAAAAACCUUACCCACCUUUGACAUGUACGGAAUCCUUUAGAGAUAGAGGAGUGCUCGAAAGAGAGCCGUAACACGGGUGCUGCAUGGCUGUCGUUAGCUCGUGUCGUGAGAUGUUGGGUUAAGUCCCGCAACGAGCGCAACCCUUGUCAUUAGUUGCUACAUUUAGUUGGGCACUCUAAUGAGACUGCCGGUGACAAGCCGGAGGAAGGUGGGGAUGACGUCAAGUCCCCAUGGCCCUUAUAGGUGGGGCUACACACGUCAUACAAUGGCUGGUACAAAGGGUUGCCAACCCGCGAGGGGGAGCUAAUCCCACAAAGCCAGUCGUAGUCCGGAUCGUAGUCUGCAACUCGACUACGUGAAGUCGGAAUCGCUAGUAAUCGUGGAUCAGAAUGUCACGGUGAAUACGUUCCCGGGUCUUGUACACACCGCCCGUCACACCAUGGGAGCGGGUUCUGCCAGAAGUAGUUAGCCUAACCGCAAGGAGGGCGAUUACCACGGCAGGGUUCGUGACUGGGGUGAAGUCGUAACAAGGUAGCCGU
This 616-nucleotide ribosomal RNA is filed under the name uncultured bacterium. RNAcentral's name for it is "bacterial SSU rRNA". It matches the Rfam family "Bacterial small subunit ribosomal RNA", at positions 887 to 1503 of the family's 1533-position model. The record is from RNAcentral.